RNAcentral lists this ribosomal RNA (114 nucleotides) under uncultured Sneathiella sp. RNAcentral describes it as "partial 16S ribosomal RNA". It matches the Rfam family "Bacterial small subunit ribosomal RNA", at positions 372 to 507 of the family's 1533-position model. Lineage: Bacteria; Pseudomonadati; Pseudomonadota; Alphaproteobacteria; Sneathiellales; Sneathiellaceae. The record is from RNAcentral.
UGGGCGCAGCUGAUCCAGCCAUGCCGCGUGAUGAUGAAGGCCUUAGGGUUGUAAAACUCUUUUCUAGGGAAGAUAAUGACGGUACCUGGUAAAGAAGCCCCGGCUAACUCCGUG